RNAcentral lists this transfer RNA (63 nucleotides) under Cricetulus griseus (Chinese hamster). It matches the Rfam family "tRNA". From Rfam's summary of the family: Transfer RNA (tRNA) molecules are approximately 80 nucleotides in length. Their secondary structure includes four short double-helical elements and three loops (D, anti-codon, and T loops). Lineage: Eukaryota; Metazoa; Chordata; Mammalia; Rodentia; Cricetidae. The record is from Rfam by way of RNAcentral.
GCUAGCUCAAUCAGUAGAGCAUAAGACUCUUAAUCUCAGGGUCGUGGGUUCGUGCCCCAUGCA